Molecule: ribosomal RNA, 257 nt
Filed under: uncultured bacterium
Lineage: Bacteria
Description: partial 16S ribosomal RNA
Rfam family: Bacterial small subunit ribosomal RNA
Source: RNAcentral
AGGGAAGCGAGACGGUGACGUGGAGCGAAUCCCAAAAAUAAACGUCCCAGUUCGGAUUGUAGUCUGCAACCCGACUACAUGAAGCUGGAAUCGCUAGUAAUCGCGGAUCAGCAUGCCGCGGUGAAUACGUUCUCGGGCCUUGUACACACCGCCCGUCACACCAUGGGAGUCGGUAACACCCGAAGUCUGUAGCCUGACGCAAGAGGGCGCAGCCGAAGGUGGGAUUGGUAAUUGGGGUGAAGUCGUAACAAGGUAAC